RNAcentral lists this ribosomal RNA (231 nucleotides) under Triticum aestivum (bread wheat). RNAcentral describes it as "partial small subunit ribosomal RNA". The record is from RNAcentral. Lineage: Eukaryota; Viridiplantae; Streptophyta; Magnoliopsida; Poales; Poaceae.
AUGAGCAGGUUCCGGGCUGUGCUUAACUCUAGCGACCUCAAAGAGAUCAAGCUCUGCGGGCGCCGCUUCACCUGGUCGAACGAGCAGCACACCCCUACUCUGGUUAGGCUCAACCGUGUCUUCUGCACGCCGGACUGGGAUGUUCAAUUCAGCUCAACUAGACUGCUUCCCCUUGCCUCCGGAAUGUCCGACCACUGCCCGUUGCUCCUCACCUGCGAAUCCUCCCUGCCC